Triticum urartu is the source of this 135-nucleotide non-coding RNA. NCBI's taxonomy places the organism in Eukaryota, Viridiplantae, Streptophyta, Magnoliopsida, Poales, Poaceae. The record is from Rfam.
UGCAUACUCCCUCCGUUCCAAAUUACUUGUCUUAAAUUUGUUUAGAUACGGAGGUAUCUAGCACUAAAAUAAGUCUAGAUACAUUCGUAUUUAGAUAAGUCCAAAACAAGUAAUUCGGAACGAAUAGAGUAGAAG